Molecule: long non-coding RNA, 490 nt
Filed under: Homo sapiens (human)
Lineage: Eukaryota; Metazoa; Chordata; Mammalia; Primates; Hominidae
Description: non-protein coding lnc-BOD1-6:1
Source: RNAcentral
AUGCCAUCCAGGUUCAAGCACACCAAAAUCAAAGUUGUAUACCUGAGGGACGCUGGUGGGGAAAUCAGUGUCAUGCCUGCCCUGACCCCUGAGAUCAACUCCAUGGACCUGUCUCCAAAUAAAUGUUGGUAAUGACAUUGCCAAGAAAGCUAGUGACUGGAAGACCCUAAGGAUUACAGUGAAAUGAACCAUUCAGAACAUGCAGGCCCAGAUUGAGGAUUCUGCCUCUGCACUAUCAUCAAAGUUCUCCAAGAAUCGCUCUGUGACAGAAAACAGCAAAAAAAACAGUAAGCAGAGUGGAAAUAUCAUUUUUGUUGCAAUUGUCAGCAUUUCCCAAUGCAGCACUGAUAUUUAGCUAGAGAACUCUCUGGAACCCUUAAAGAGCUCCUGGAGACUGCCCACCAACUGGUGGACUGCACUAUUGAUGGCUACCACACUCCGCAUCAUAGAUGACAUCAACAAUGGCAUAGUGGAAUGUCCAGCUAGUUAA